Molecule: long non-coding RNA, 35358 nt
Filed under: Durio zibethinus
Lineage: Eukaryota; Viridiplantae; Streptophyta; Magnoliopsida; Malvales; Malvaceae
Description: long non-coding RNA (DZIB_LNC002379)
Source: RNAcentral
CGAGAAGGGUAUCAGCCUAAUUUAAUCAGUUAUAAUAUCAUAGUAAAUGGUCUUUGUAAAAUAGGUGAUACUACUCGGGCUAUUCUAUUGCUAAGGACUAUGGAAGAAAUAGGUUUUGCACCUGACCGUGCAACAUACAACACUGUCAUCGACGGCCUUUGUAAGGACAACAAUGUAACCGAGGCUUUGAAGCUUUUCUCAGAAAUGAGAGGUAAAGGCAUUCCACCAAAUGUUGUCACUUAUAAUUCCUUAAUUCAUGCUAUGUGUAAUUCAUGUCAGUGGAAGGAGGUUACAAGAUUAUUGAAUGAAAUGCUGGCGAACAACUGCAAGCCUGAUGUCUUCACAUAUAAUACUGUGGUUGAUGCCCUUUGUAAAGAGGGUAGGGUUGUAGAGGCUAAAAAUAUUUUUAAAAGAAUGAUUCAACAAGGUGUUGAGCCUAAUAUAGUUACUUAUAAUUCAUUGCUUGAUGGAUAUUGUUUGCGAGGUGAAAUGGAUGCGGCUAGAACAUUAUUCAAUUCAAUAACUAACAAGGGUUGUGUACCUGAUGAAUUUACUUACAGCAUCAUUGUCAAUGGAUAUUGUAAAGCUAAAAGGAUUGAUGAGGCAAUGGAACUCUUUCAUGAAAUGACUCGAAAUGAAUUAAUCCCGAAUGUUGUUACUUACAACACUCUUAUAGGUGGCAUGUCAAAGGUUGGGAGACUUGCAGUUGCACAAGAACUUUUCAAAGAAAUGAGUGCUCGUGGCCUAGUUCCAAAUGUGAUCACUUACUCUACUUUGUUGGAUGGCUUAUGCAAGUGUGGUCAUAUUCAUGAGGCAUUGGGAUUUUUUCAUGUAAUGCAGAAUAGUGGGUUAGAACCUACUAUUGUCCACUAUUCUAUCUUAAUUGAUGGCUUGUGUCAAGUUGGGCAACUUAAAGUUGCAAGGAAAUUAUUUUGUGCACUCAAAGUCAAAGGGAUACACCCUUGUGUUUACACAUAUAGUAUAAUGAUCAGAGAACUUUGUAAAGAAGGGCUGCAGAAUGAAGCAUAUGAACUGUUUAGUAAAAUGGAAUUGGAUGGUUGCAUGCCAAAUAGUUGCUGUUAUAAUGUGAUGAUUACAGGAUUUCUUCGAAACAAUGAAACAUCAAGGGGAGUACAAAUUCUUCAUGAAAUGGUUAACAAAGGAUUUUCUGCAAAUGCAUCUGUAGCCGUCAUGCUAGUGGAUCUAAUGUCUAGUGAUUCAACGGGUGAAUAUAUUCGUGCAGUAGUUCAGAAACUUUGAAGACUAUCAAGGUUCUAAUAUGGAGUGAUUUCUUCCCAGCCAAUAUUGGUGCAAUAAAUCCAAACAAGUUUUAGAAUCUGUAGGGGUUGCUAAUAAAUAUCUAAGCAGUCCCUAAUUCCAUCAUAUGAACUUCAUAGAAGGCAGUAUUUUACUCCUUGAUUAGGCAUUAGGCAGCAUGCAAGUAUCCUAUUAAAUUCAGGAAGAGGGCUGAUUUUGAAUUUUUCAGACUGCAGUUACUCUUUUUUCUUUUGCUUUUCUCUUCUCUUUUUUUUUUUUCCCUUCUAGGGCACCUAUAGGUAUAGCAGUGUUGGGCUCUAUUAAUGGUUUACCAUUCAUUUAGUUUUGAUAACCUUGCAAAACUUAUAAUAUUCUCCUUUGCGGAACAAAUGUCAAUGCUCAUUCAUCCUGCUUUAUGAUCAUAUUGUCUUUUCCUGGUGGUGUUUCUUUGGAACUGGAAGCAUUAGAAAGUUUUUGUUGUAAGUUUUGUUUCAUGGAAAUGAGGUAUUUGGUUUGAAUUGAAGUGAAUGGUAUAGAAUUUAAAUAAUUCUUUUUUAUUAACAUAAAUUUCCAUUUGACAUGCAUUUCCUAUACUCAGAUGGCGAAGUCACCAGAGCUAUAUCCUGUGGUGGUGCAGGAUUUCUGUUAAUAUUCCACCAUUUGGGGAACUGGCAUGGCUAGCUGCCUUGUCUGCUCUAACUGAGCAUCUUACAGGGAUAGGAUGACAUUGUUGAAUUGUAUGCACUGAAAUUCAAAAAAUUUCCCUGGAUCUAUUAUGAAUUGACAUGAUUCUAACAUAACACAUCUCUGUUUUCCUUUAUUCUCCUAAUUAUAUAAAUUUAUGUAGUUAUGUUCUUAUAAUUUUCCUUUCAAUUUUUCCUCUACUUUAUUGUUCCUAGUAAGGGACUUUGAAAAUUUUGAUUAAACUUCUUGCCCUGCAUUUUUCUCUUUUUGGUUAGUGUCAUUUCUUUUGUUUUACUUGCCUUACUCUUUGCUUAUCAUACUCAGACUUAUAGUACAACUUUAAUAGCAACAAAUGCACGCCAGAAACUACUUAUUUUUCUUAAUAUAAAUUUCAGAUCAAAGUGGACAUAAACAUAGGAUGGGAUUUAUAAAUGGAUCGCUGAAUUGUGGUUUUCCCUCUAUCAUUUCAUGAUCUGAACCUAUAAAAUCAUUUGUGUUUGCUUGCAGUGACACCACCUUAGGUGUUUACCAUGAUGAUUUUAAUACCUUCGUUAGUGAGACUGGGUCUGGCAAGCAUGUGCCAAGAGCUAUAUUUGUUGAUCUAGAGCCCACUGUCAUUGAUGAAGUUGGAGGAGGGACUUACAGACAAAUCUUGCACCUGGAGCAACUUAUUUCUGGCAAGGAAGAUGCUGCUAAUAACUUUGCUAGAGGACAUUAUACAGGUACAAGCAUCUUUUCUGCAUUUCCAAAGUACUAGCAAUUUUGUUAGAUUUGAUCACUGGCUCAAACUUCUUUGGUGUUGUAUACUGCAGUUGGUCAGGCAAUUGUGGAUCUUUGCCUUGACCAAGUGAGAAAAUUGGCUGAUAACUGCACUGGUUUCAAGGAUCUUUUGAAUUUAAUGCUGUUGGCAGUGGAACCAGUUUUGGCUUGGGCUCGUUGCUUUUGGAGCACUUGUCUGUAGAUUAUGGAAAGAAGUCAAAACUUGGCUUCUCCAUCUACCCUUCUCCUUAGGUAAUUUCUAGAAGACUUAAAGGAAAAGUACAGGUUUCUUUUUCCCCAUGCUUGAACUAUUAUGUGUGUGCAAUUCACUGAACGAUUAUCCCCAAUUGUGCAGGUUUCUACUGCUGUUGUGGAACCUUAUAAUAGCAUGCUCUCAACUCAUUCUCUACUUGAACACGAUGAUGCUGCUGUGCUUCUUGACAAUGAAGCUAUAUACAAUAUCUGUAGGAGAUCCUUAGACAUUGAAAGACAAACUUAUUGAAACUUGAACCACUUGAUAUCCCAAAUUAUCUCUUCUUUGACCACUUCAUUGACCACUUCAUUGAAGUUUGAUGGUGCCAUAAACAUGGACAUCGCAGAGUUUGGACAUUGCAGAGUUUCAGACUAACCUUGUGCCAUAUCCUUUUAUCCAUCCCAUGCUCUCAUCAUAUGCCCCAGUAAUCUCAGCUACAAAGGCUUACCGUGAGCAGCUAUCAGUUCCUGAGAUUACAAGUGCUGUUUUUCAACCAUCAAGCUUGAUGGCUAAAUGUGAUCCAAGGCCUGGGAAGUACAUGGCAUGCUGUUUAAUGUACUAUGGAGAUGUUGUACCUAAGGAUGUCAAUGCUGCUGGUGCUACCAUCAAAACUAAGUGGACUGUUCAGUUAGUAUAUUGGUUAGUAGACAUCUUUUACAUUUCAUUUCCAAAUAAUUAUGUAUAAGCAAUCUGAUUAUCAUUAUUACAUAGAGUUCGCCAAGGGGUUUGCCUUCGGUUUGUUAUCUGAAUGAUUGCGAUGCAUCUUUUAUUUCAGGUGCCCUACUGGUUUCAAGUGUGGUAUCAACUAUCAGCCACCCACUGUGGUACCAGCGGGUGAUCUCGCUAAGGUACAAUGUGCAGCAUGCAUGAUCAGCCACCCACUAUGGAUGGUUGGCAGAGGUUUUCUCCCAAAUUGACCACAAGUUUGAUCUCAUGUAUGCCAAGAGAGCAUUUGUUCACUGGUAUGUAGGUGAAGGAAUGGAGGAAAGUGAAUUCUCAAAAGCCCGUAAAGAUCUCGCUGCUCUCGAGAAAGACUAUGAGGAAGUUGGGGUAGAAGGUGCCGAAGAUGAAUAAGAACCAGAAGAUUACUAGAUCUAUAUUUCAUGAAAGCAGCAGCUAAUGGUCCAUCAUGUUCUUCAACUCAUUUCAGUUCAUCAGGUAUUCUUAUUGUUGUAAAUUUGUGCAUGUGUACUUCAUGUCUUGAAUUUGUCUACCUUUGAAUGUCUUUGCUCUGAACGUGGGUUGGUUUAAGUGUAGUUGUGAGAACCUAUAGUUUCUGUCCUAUAAGAUGUGGCCCCUUUCAAUGUCUAAUAAAGCUUCUGCUUUGUGCCAUGAUGUAAUAUAAUGCAAGUCAGAAUUUCCCAGAAAAAUAACAGAAAUAACUAGAAAGUAAAGAUUUCCCAAUUUUCUAUUUGGUGGGUGAUUAAAUAUUUUGCUACAAACUGAGAGGUAUGUAAUUGGAAACAGAAGUUUUCCAUUCAAGAAAAACAAUACUUAAAAAAAAAUUUUUUUGACUUGUCAAAAAAUUUUUAAUGAGUGUUUUUCUUUUAUAUGUAAUUACCAAUUUCGUUUAUUCAUCAAAUAAAUAACUUAACUAGAUGAGAACUUUACUAUUUUUUUUUAUUUCCUCUUAUAAAGAGAGACAGAAUUUAAUGAAAUUUUUAUUUGCAAUUUUUGAAGAUCGAUGUUAAAAAUGUUUCAUUAAAAAUUUUAAUCUAAAAUUGAAAUUCAUAAAUUAAACGAUCUUAGAUUAAAAGUUUUAUUAAAUCAUUUUUAAUAUUGAAUUUCACAAAUUUCAUUUAAAAAUUUUUAUGGAAAAAUAGCUAUCUUGACUUUUGAGUAAUUUUUUAAGAGGUCAAAAAUAAAUUAAUUAAUCAACUAUUUACUUAUAUUUUUGUAUUUAAGAUUGUUUAGAAUUGAAAUUUUAUUAUUAAAGCUAAAAUUUUAACAUUUUAUCAAAUUAUUGACUAAAGAUUUUUUUAAAAUCUAAUGUCUAAUAAUUCUAAUUAAUUUUUAUCAACAACAAAAUUUAUUGAUCAAUGGCUGUCAAUCUUGACAAAAUAAAAAAGGAUUUUGCUAAUGAUUAUCCUGAGAUAAUUUUUAAAAUUACAAGUUUCAAAGAGUGGGCAGCUGAUUCCCUCUUCCUAUCUUUUUUAUUUUUUUUAUUAUUAUUAUUUUUAUCCAUGUCAAUCUUACAAGUUUCUCUCUUCAAAAGCUUUAGCCUUUUUUUCAACCUUGAAGACUUCUAUCCUUAGAAUUGAGCAUUAACCUAGGAUAAUGUUUAUUGUUAGUAUAAAUUAUUAUUACAAAACUCUAUCCUUUAACAGUCAAAUAAUAUUAUAAUAUUAUAAAUAAUAUUUUAAUUAACUUUAAAAAAAGAUAUUAAUAGUAAAAUCUAAUUUGAAUUUACAAUAAAAUUUUGAUACGUGAAUAACAUGAUUAUGUGAGAGAACCAAAAUUAAAUUAUAUUACAUUAUAUAGUUAUUUAAACAAAUUAAAAUUUAUGUUGUCAAUUAUAAUUCAUUGCAAAAGAGAUUUUAUUUUAUUUUAUAAUAUUUUCAGUUUUCAAGUAUGGGUGAAACAUUUUUCUAAUGGAUCAUAAAAUUUUAUUAUUUUUUAUGCACUGAUUCACCAUAACUCAUUAUUAACUAAAAUUAAUUAUAUUAAUGUGUGUAUUUGAAAAUACUAUAGUAUUUAAUUUAGUAACCCAAAUGGCAUUUUAGUAAAUUGAGAUGAUCUGACCAAGUGUUAAAUUAAUUAAUCAAUUAUUGGAUAGAACAGCGAAAUGAUGUUCUUUCAAAUAUAAUGUUUGAAGAACAUUAUCUUCGCCUUGCAGUUUGAAUCAAUAAACAUCAGAUUCAUCUUGCAAAUUGGUAAUAAGAAAAUUUCUUGAUAAUUUUAAACACUUGACACCAAGAAUUAAGAAAAAAAAACUCAAAAACAAUAGACUUAAAAUUUUAAUAAAAUUAUAUAUUUAGUAAACAUUGUAUUUUAUAUUUCACAUGUUGAUAUAACAAUUUGACAUAAUAUUUUUUAUAUUUGAUACAACAUUAAUAUCAAUUUUAAUUUGUGGUAUCUUAUUUUUAUUUUGUAAAAGUGAAUUGAUUUUCUUCCUUUCUACCAUUGUUUCAAGCCGUUUUACUGUACUCAUUUGAAGAUCUUCUGGCUGCCGUAAGAGCUCAUCAACACCGUAUGACAACACCAAUGGUUUCAGAAGACUUUUGGUGUAAUAAGCCUGCAGAUUGACUUGGAGGGCAACUUAUGAGAUUGCAAUGCAAGAACAGAAAAUAAGCAAAAAAAAAAAAAAUCAAACUCAGAUAUUAAUCAAAUAUGUUCUCUACUAAUAAUACCAUCAAAGCUACAAAACUGAAAAUGUGCUUUAGAAUUUAUCUAGUAGUUAAAGAGGAGAAAGAAUGCUAGUAAUUGGAUUAAGUAAACAAAGGCAUAGUCUGUAGUGCAAGAGACAACUCAUGAUUCGAGUAUAAAUUUGAUGAUAGUUGCAUCUUAUAUCAUAGUUUAAAAUUUUCUUCUAUAACUCAGUUAACAAAAUAAUUUCUCAAAAACAAAUGCCAUAUUCGAGUAAAAGAUUACAAACAACUAAAUGAAGAAAUAAGAUAAAAAUGAAGAAUCACUAUAAGAUACCAUGCUAUUGUUUCUAGAACAACUAAUUACUUAUGACGAACAUUUACCAAACAUUCUGCAUCAAUAAAGAUUUCAAAAACUGAAAAUUUGAUUCUUCUUCAUUUUGGGAAGAGGAGGAAUAUGUGAGUAAACACUUCAAACUUCAGUAGUAUAUUUUUAUGACCUUUUUUUUUACAUACUAUAUUAUUAGAUCUGUAACUAAUACAUUCACCAAUUUGGUUAUUUUAAUGCUUUAACUUAUCCUAAACAAUUUUGAUUAGAAAAUGAAAAGAAGAAAAAACCAAAACAAAAACAAGUAUUUAACCAGCAAGGCAUGUUUACUGGCCUUGGAUAAUUGUUGGAGACUCCCAUAAUUAACUUGUGGUGUCAUAAGUAGAGGUGUAAUCGAGUCGAGUCAAGUCGAUACAGUGAGAAGCUCGAGUUCGGCUCUAAACUCGAGGCUCGAUACUCGAUUCAAACUCGAUCGAGUUUCAUUUUUCUAGCCCAAACUUGAUUCAUGAUCGAAAUCGAGCUAUUCGAACUCGCUCGAUUAAAGUCGAUUAAUAUGUUAAAAUAAACUCGAUUUUUAUAGUCGACAAUAACUCGAAUAUUUAUGCUCGAGCUCGAACUCGAAUUCAAGAUAUUUUAUUGAUUAAAAUAAUUAAAAAAUUUAAAUAUAAAAGCUCGAUUAGGCUUGCGAGCUACUCGAGCUAGGUAUAAGAAUACUCGAACUCGGCUCGAUCGAUAAGUCAAGCUACUCGAACUCGAGUUUGACUCGAUAAUAAUCAAACCGAAUUAGAGUUUUAUUCGAAUCGAACUCGAGUAGCUUGCGAGUACUAAUGUAUCAUUUAUACUCCUAAUCAUAAGUGAAUACACAUUAUCAGUAUUCAUUUUAGAAUAGCACAAUUGAGAACAUAAUACUCUAAUGGAUAAGAAAAUUCACCUUAAUUUUGUUUAAAAUGCAUGCAAAAUAACCAGCGCCUGUAAUAAUAAUUAUUCUCUUAAAGACUUUCACCAUCUACAUCUCUUACACCACAUCACACUAACACAUAAACAAAAAUAUUUUUCUUCCUUUGACUAUUUUCAUGUGUUACAUCUAAUAUCCCUAACUAGCUGAAUCCUAAGUCCUAACCUAAGGAAAGGCUCAAAUAUUUAAAGAUUGCAUGAACAAUUUUAAGAAAAUCCAAUUGUUAUUGCAUAAUAUCUUGAUUAUGUAUUUGCAAAUUACAUGACUGUCAGAAAGCAAAUAGCAUCAACUGAGUGGUGCGAGUGAAAAAUGAAUAAUUGACAAGUAUGAAAAGCUAGCGUCUAACUAUCAUUGAAUGCAUAUGCAAUAACAGAAAGAAGACAAAUACAAUAAAACAUAACAACCAAGCAUCUUCCCCCUAGCAAAAAGUUGAUAACCAUAUAUAAAUAUAGAAAUGCAACAAAUUAACAGUGAAGAAAAUAACAGAGAGGAAACUCAGUAGUAACAAUGGUAAAUGCUUAUCAAAUGUUAAUGGGAGCACAUACUUGCAGUUCAGGACUUAUGUCGUCAUUCAUGACUUCAACUAAUGUGAUUACAACUAUCUCAUGAUAUAGGUAUUGCAACUUCGGACAUAAGCCAACAGACAAUUGUUUAAUAGCAUUAAUAGCUGCCAAUUGAACCCAAGGAUGUGAAUCAUUUACUGACUCCAAAACCAUUGGCACUACCUCUUCCAGAUUUUCUAGCAUCAUCUGCACAAACAAGGUAAAAACAUAGGUGAAACUCAUUUGGAAGUAAAUGAAACAUCAGAACAAUCUUCUCAAAAUUAGCUCUACCUUCAAACCAAUAAGCAUGUCUAAAGGAAUUCUUUAUUAGAUUAACAACAGAGAAACUAUUUUACAUCAAAUACAAGAAAUGCAUAAAUGCUCAUCUAGAAUAAACAAUAUAUAUUGUAUAUAUGUGUAUAUAUUUAUUGUAUUUAUGUAUCAAACAUUAUCAAAUCUAAUCAAAUUAAUUAUGGCAGUUCCAAACCUUUGAAGUAAAUAAAACAUGUUAACAAUAUUAUCAAAAUAAACUCUCUCAUCCAACCAAUAAUAAUUAACAAACAAAGCAAGUCUUAAAUUUAACUAAUUAUAAGCAGAACAUAUAUCAUGAACUCUAUGAUAAUAAUAAGCGAAAUAAAUGCUGAUCUAAAAUAAACUGCUACAGAACAUUAAAUACGAUUAAAUCAAUUACUAACGUAACUUCAAACCUUAAAACAACCCUCUGCAAUUUUUGGAAUAACAAUGAGAGCAACAUGCCGCUGCUGCCAUAUAGAGGUACCCAACAAAUAUGAAAACAAGAGUAGAACCCACUGAAAGAUCGUCUUCUCACCCAACAAAAUAGACAACUUACUCAAACAUUUUUAGCUAAUAUAUAAUCACUCGUGCCCCAAAAAUUGUCAACCUCGUACUCAUCCUCAUCCACAUACUCAAUAUCAUAAAACAUAAACAUUAACUUAUCAAACAACCUCUUUAUAAAUUGUGGCUCCUUGCUUAUCUUCUUGGAUCCUUCUCCACCAAUGCAAUCAGGAAUUCAAUUGCCAAAUGUUUUAUGUCUACCUCUAAACUAUCAUCAACUGUGAUCUUCAACAUCAAUUGUAGUACCUUCUCUAAUUGUCUCUAAAAAAACCUUGGGUCAGUCUCUGCUAAUUUGAUUAACAACUGCAAAGAUUCCUCAGACUUUGAUUCUGACCCUGAAUUCAGAGCAUUAAUCAAAGACUUCAUCAUCGAUCGCAAUAAAUAAUCAAACCUAAUUGAGCAAUUUAAUCUUUCAUUAAAAUAUAUCAAAUUCUGAAACAUGAAUAUGAAACAAGAGAGUUAUAAAAUAAUAGCAAUUCUUUGUAAUGUAUUAUCAAAUGCAUUUAGUGCAAAUAUUUCAAUAUAAAAUCAUCCAAUCAAAUAAAUAAAGAAAAAAGAUUUCGAAUCAUAAUUGAGUGCGACCAACAUAUCAAUAAGAAGUCAGAGCCUUGAAUCACAUUUCAAGGAGAAAAAGAAUAACAAAGUUCAAACAAACAAGCCUAAAACUUAUAAAUUUUAUCAUUUUAACUACAAACUAAAUUAACAUGGUCAAAACUAUGUAUCAUUUUAAUCCUACACAAGAGUACAUCCAAGAGCAAUUUUUGUCCAUUAUUAAACCCUAAUUGAAUUGAAAUAUGAGCAAUUAAAGUCAUAUAAAGUGUUAAACUUUUUUUAUUAAUUGACCAUAUGAGCUAUUAUUGUUAUACUAAACAAAAUUAUUUAAAUGAUAGUAUGAGGUUAUCAUUGGUCUACUUUAACAAAUAAUCCGUUAAUGGCACAAAAGGUCUUGCAAAAAUUUAUCAUACAUAUACAAGAUAAUACAUUUACAAUAAAAUAUUAUUAGUUUUAAUGAUAGAAUUUUACAUUUGAUCUUGGCCUUCUUAGUAUAAUUCUGUCCGUUUUGUAGAAAAUUUCUCUAAUCGAAGCACUUUUACGUACAAAACUUAUUUUACUUUUGAAGUAGUUGAAAUAGAAAAUAAAGGACAUUAGUAUGAUAAAAAUGAAUAAAAAAUUAUAUUCAUUACAAAAUAUACAUCCAUCUAAACCCAUUUUUAUAAUAUACAUUUAUGGAUAGAUUAUGAAAAAAAAAAGAAAAGAAAAUAAUUUAAUUUAUUUAUAUUAAGUUUGAUCAAUACAAUAAAAUCAUAAUAUUUCAAUAAUUAGUAAUAUAUAAAUUUCAUUAAACUAUCAAAUAUAUAAAUUAUUUCAAAAUAAAUAUAAAUCUUAAUAAUAUAUAUUACUUCAAAAUGAAAUAACUAUUAGUAAUAUAUAAAUUAUAACCUCAAAUCAACAUAAAUAAUUUUAAUUUCUAUAAUUAUUAUUAAAAUCUAGAAAAUAUUAAAUAUAAGACAUCCAUCAAAAUAUAUAUAAAUCUUAAUACACAUUAAAUCCAAAUUAACUAAUAUAAAUCUUAAACAUCUAAAAGUUAAUAAAUUUAAAACAAAACCUAACAAAUCUCAACAAAAUUUUCACAAAUAAAAAAUAAAUAACACAACAAAUAAAAAAAAUUCCCUAACAAUACUAAAAAUAAAUCCAAAAAACAUUAACAAUACUCAACAUUAAUACUCAAUAAAAAAUCCAACAAAAAUAUAUAACCAACAAAUUUCACCAAAAAUAUAACCAAAACCCAAAUAAAUUUCAACAAAUAUAAAACCAACAAAAACCUCAAUAAAUUGGUAACCAAAACCCAAAUAAAUUUCAACAAAUAAAUAAUUAACAAAAACUCAAUGCAUUGGUAACCAAAACCUAAACAAAUUUUAGCAAAUUCAUAAAAAAAAUAAACCUUAAACUCAAUAAAUAUACUACAUAAAAUACAACAUAAAACAAAAUAAUUAAAAAAAAAACUUACUGGAGAGAGGAGACACAUUGAUGUCGGUCAGCACACUUGGAUGGUAAGGUGGUAGAAAAGGAAAGGGAAAAGGAAUUAAGGAUUUAGGAAAGAAAUUGAGGGAAAAAUAAGUUGCCCAAUAGGAGAUUUGAAAUUUUGUAACUCUUAGUGAUAGUUUUACUGACAAAAAUUAUGUCAAUAAUAUUAAAAUUUUUUUAAAAUAUUUUUUUAUGAUGGUUUUAGCAACUAAAUUUUUGUUAGUAAUGUCAAAAAAAAAUUUCAAAUUUUUUUACCAAUUGAAUUUUUUAUUGGUAAAUAUGUCAAUAGCUUUUAGUGAUGAAUUUAUCGACAAAAAAAUCCAUCAGUAAAAUUGGCCGUAAUAUGCACCAUAUUUUUAGCGAUGGAUUAUCGAUGGAUUUAAUUCUGUCGAUAAUCUAUUCGGUAAUCCAUUAAUAAAAUUUCAUCGAUAUUUCGUUGCUAAAUAUCGAUAGAAAAAUUGUCUAUAAAUUUUGUUAGUAAUGCUUAAAAGUCUAGUAGUGAUUAAACUACAAACUAUUUAGUGAAGCUAAUUAAUCCAAUUUUCAUGUACCUUAUUAAAUCAAGUUUAUAAAAAUUAGCUUGAUAUCUUAACAUGAUAUCAUCAUAAAUUUUAUAAAUUUCAAAUAUAAUAAAUAACUAUGUAUGUAAAUUAAUAUAAAUCUAAUAAUGCAAGAUUUUGACCUUUUUAAGGCAAAACUCCCCUAAAAAAGAAGGCAUGUGAGCCAAAAGUGAGCUAGCCAAGACAAAUAAAAUGUAACAUUACACAAAACAUCAAACUAUACAAGUUCUUAAGUCACUACAAAAAAUUGCUCUAUAUUUACGCUUAAAAAAUCGUCAAUAAAACUUAAAAAUCUGUUGGUAUAACACAGUAAAUCUUAUACUGAUAGUCAAAAUAUCUAUUUCAAAGAAUUUAUAACCGUUAGUAUAUUCUUUAUCGAUAUAGCCAUAUAUUGACGGUUUUUAAACUGUCAGAAUAUAUAAUAAAGAUAUAUUGAUAGUUUUAGUCCGUCACUAUAUGUAUAGCUGUUGGUAUAGCAACCAUUGUGUGUUUCACAUUAUACCUUUUACCGACGGUUAUUUCUAUUGGUAUAAAAUUGUAUGUUUUAAUUUUUUCAACUUAUACCAACAAUCUCUGCAUCAAUAUAUCUUUUACUAAUGGUCAAUACUCAUCAGUAUAGCCUUAUGUGUUUUAACUUUUAUUAACGGUUCGUGAUGACUGUCAAUAUAGCUUGAAAUAUUUCAAUAGUAUAAUAUGUUGAUAUAAAUUUUAAGAUAUCGAUAAAAACUUUUUUUUGAAUUAUAUUUUCAAUUAUUAAUAUUAACUUAUUUAUAAUUAUAAUAUAAUAUGGUUUCAUAUAAAGUAAAAAUACAUGAAAAAGUAAAAAUAUUUAACAACAUUUGAAAUAAAAUAACAACCAAAUUGUUUUGUAAUUCACAUAUUUAAAAUAAGUCAAGAACUAUCGUCAUUGUACCAAAUUCCAAAAAAAAAAAACAUUAAUAUCUAUGAUUGAAUGUCUGCAAAUAUAAUACUUGAAGUAAAUAAACAAUUUUCUAAAGUAAAAUGAUGCCAUCCCAAGUUGGUCCAAAUACCUAUUUAAUUAGUAAAACCCAAUAAAGAAUUUCAUGUCAAAUUAAGCUUUUACUAGUCAAUUAACAUAAGAAAUGUUCCCAAGGUCAAGUCAAGCAUACCAGAAACUAUAAACAAAUGAAUUGUUGACCAGAUUUUGUCCACUGUUAUAGGCCCCCUGCUUCACCAACCUAACUAACUGCUAAACUUGUUGAAUUCUUCAGAAUUGUUUGAAGGUCUCUAAAAAGCUACUACCCACCAUUUAGAUAAGAUGGUUCUAGGAUUUUGUUUAUAACCUGAUUAUCAUUACCUACAUACAAGGAAAAUAUGUAAUUUAAUAACUGAAUUUCAAGAAAUAUUUUUUAAACAAUGCAAUUUAUUAUUUUAUUGUACCUGCAUCAAAGUUGUAAAUAUGUUGAGUCACUACUUGUAGAGAUUUGGGUAUUUUUUGUAUAAAUUGUGUGAACCAGUUUGCAUCAAAAAAUCCUCUUGGUGCUAUUACUAAUGGUUGAACCUUAAAUCCCUUAUAUAUAUUCUAAAUAAUGUUUUAAAGAUUGUUCACAUUAGAUGCACAUAGAUAUGCUGUAACUUUUAUUUCAAUGCUAAAGCCACAUAAUUCAUUUCCUGAUUAGCCAUAUUAUUAUUUAAGAAAUUCCAUUGUUUCAGAUACCAAAAAACACAGGAAAACAAUUUGCUAAUGAAAAAAUAAAGGCAAGAUUAUCAUUUUUUUUCUACACAAUUAAACUACAUAUUGAUGGGGAAAUUUUACCAAAUUCCCAGCCAUGAAUGGUAUAGCCCUAGUUGACAAUGUAUCUAGUGAGUGAUUCAACAUUACUAGAAUUUCAAGCUCCCAUGGUAGAACCGUCUGGACCUACAGUCCUCUUAUUUAAUGCAUUUAAGCCAAAAACGACCAUAGCCUAGUGUUGGAAGUAAAAAGCAUUGGAUCUAGGUAAAAGAAAACUUCAUCUAGUUGUUUAAAUGUUAGGAAAUAGACAAAUUACAAAGUUUAUGAAGAUAGUAAUAAGUUUACUUACUUAGAUUUUUGAAGAAAAUGUUAAGUUCAUCUCAUCUAAACAUGGGUAAGCAACCUUUUGAGAAACCAAACAUCUCUAAGCUAUUUUUAGUAAACGAUGCAUAAGGAAUCUUUGCUCCAUUUCUUUUUAUUGAUUUUAAUCAGAUAUGAAUGGUUUGAUUACACCUUAACAUGGCAAUAAUCUGCCAUCCUUUACAAAUUUUGAUCAAAUAGAAAAAAUUUUGUCAACCAAUUACGAAAAAACAUUAAAACGAAGAUACAUUACCAAAACUACCAAGAAAAUAGAGAUUAUGUUUUAUUUGAAGGGAACCCUAAACAUUCAAUCGUCCUAAGCUAUUACUUCUUCAUAAAACAUUCAAUCAUCAAAGCCAGCACUAGUAGAAGGACAAAAAAAAAAAAAGGCAUACUUGAUGAUACAAAAUUGAAAUGCAAAAAAUGAAAAAUACCUUUGAGAAAUGACGAGGGUCUUGAUACUUUAACUUUGAUUCAGCUCUAAAACAAAAUGAGUGAUGAUAGGUUUAAGUUUAUAGAGUCAGUGGGAAGCAAAGAGAGUUAGUGGGAGAUGGAGAUUAGGCUAUAGGUACCAGAGGGUGGAAAGAGUUGAUGAGGAGGUGAAGAUUAAGUAUGUAGAGUCAGUGGGAGGUGGAGGGAAAUAAAAUGAUUUAAACAUUUUGGAGAUUAUUCAAACAUCUUUGACCAAAAACAUCUUGAAUAACCCCAUUCAAUUUUUUAUAAGGGAUUAUUCAAAGCAUUUUUUUGUUAAAAAUACCUUGAAUAACACCCUUAUAAAAAUUAAUUGAAUAGGGUUAUUUAAAUUACCAUCAAUAUGUCAAGGACAUUAUAAUAAUUAUUCAUGAUUUAAUAUAUGUGGAUUCCUCCAAACUAAACGAGUGAAUCUGAACACGAGAUGCCUUGAAAAUAAAAGAAAACCUUGGGUAUCGCACUUUCUGGGAAUUACACUUUCUUUCGAAAUCUAUAAUUUCGCGAAUCAAACGGCCCCUAAUUUUUUUUCUCAAAUAAAAACUAAUAGUUUUUUUUUUUUUUGAGCUUAUACUGACUGGUUGCAUUAAUAACCGUCAGUAUAUAACAUAUUUAUAUUGACGGAUAGUCAUAUACUGUUAUAAAAAGUUCAUUUAUACCGAUGAUUAAAUAAAGUAUUAGUAUAAGUAUAGUAUAUCUAACAGUAUUAAAAAUCUGACAGUAAAAUUUUCUUUUACUGAUGCAAUUUGACCAUCAGUAUAACUAAGUGUCAAUAUAUGAAAAUUUGUUUUUAAUGAGUGAGUUUGUAUAAAAGUUUUAAAAUCUUUUAAAAAAACUAAAAUGAAAAGUGUUCUAAAAUGAAUUAAUUGUAUGAAGAAAUAUUUUUAUUAAGAAAUUUUGAAUAUUAAAAUUUGAUGAGAUUUAAAAAAUAACUAUAAUAAAGAAAUAAUGAUAUUAGAGAUAGAAUAAACACAAAAAAAAAAAAUGCAAUAUAUGUGUCAUUAUAUUUGUAAAAAAUGUUUAGAUAAUACUAAUAACAUGGAAAAUAAAUAAAUAAAUUUUUAAAAGAAUUUUUGUAGUUAAAGUUGAAAAAAAAAGUUAUAUAAAAAAUGAAAUAUAAUAAACUAGUUUAUUACACUUGCAAUACAUUAAUUGUCUUUAAUUAUUUAAAUACGUGUAAACACAUAAAUUAACAUUUUUUAAUUAUUUAUAUAUUCAAAAUAUAUGUGAAACACAUAUAAUAUAAUCAAGAGAUCAAAUCACUAUAAAAUAAAAAUUUUUUAUUAAAAAUUUAACAAAUUUUAAAAAUAUGAAAAAUAAUAUUUGAAGAAGACUAAGAUAUUUAAAAUAUAUCAUACAUAUAAUAUAUUAUAUUAAAAAUAAAGAAUAUAGUUAAAUGUAAAUUUAGAUAUCUAUUGAUAAAAAGUCUCAUGCAAAAUACGUACAUAUGUAUCUAUUCUCUAUUAACAUUCAAUAUUGGAAACAAUAAGUUCUAUAUAUUUCGAAAGAAAAAGAUAUAAAUAAGCAUUAAAAUAGAAUAGUAAAAUAUCUAUUUGUCAAUCAUCCUUUGUAUAAGAUUAAUGCAUGUAAAAUUAUAGCAUAGUAUUAUUGCAUAUGAUACCAUCACUUAAAGCUUGCAAGUAAAUUUAUCAAUCACCAUUUCUAUUAGCAUUUUGAAACAUAAAACCUAUUUUAAAAGUUAAAGUGAUUACUAUAAAAGUAAAUUUAAUGUAGAUGUUUGUAAGUUGAAGUUAAGAAACAUAUCCUUGAUACUUACAAAAGAGAAAAAUAAAUGUUUCUGUAAAUUCUAACUUAAUACUUCACAAGAUAAGAAAAAGUAAUUGAAAAAAAAAUAUAGAUAAAUAUAAUUGACUUUAAGGGUUUCAGUGAAUUAUUUAUUUUAAUAUGUUAUAUUUUAUAUUAAUUACUAUUUUAAUAUAAUUUAAUAUAUGUUAAUAUUUUAAUUCAAUAAAUUUUUAAGAUUUUAAAUAUUAAAUAACAUUAAAAUAUAUAUAAAAAUUAAUUUACUAUUAUAUUUUUAAAUUAAAAUCCUUAAUAAUCAUUUUUUUACUAUAAUUUAUAUUACUAACAUUAUUGCUUUUAAAUUUAAAUGUAUAUUCUAAUAUUGAUUUUAAUCCUACUACUAAUACGUUAUCUAAUGUCAUCUCUAUGAUUAUUUUCAAUCUCAAUAGAUAUAAUUUCACUCUCUGACCAAAUUAACCAUCAUUUAAAUAACCAAGUUGGGAUAGAGGAGAUUUUGAAUGAUAGAUCUUAAGCAGCCCUAAAUUGGCCAGAUCCGAUCCCGGCUUUAGAAACAGGUAAAUGGUUUAAAUGGAGCACAUCAAUUAGGCGUGGUUCCGAAAUUAAGUUUGGAAUUUUGCGAGCACUUUAUCAUUUGAGCGCGGUGCGUGGGUGUCUCAUCCGACAACGAAGCAGCUGAAGGAAGAAGAAUUGGAGCUUUCGGUUUGUUUUUUUGAUGACGAUGAUGAUAAUGAUGAGGGGUUGGAGAAGCUGUUCUCUCUUUUCUUUUUCUUCUGCCUUUGAUCAUCUUCGACAAUUGGGAUCGGGUAACCCUAAAUCUGCCACUUCUCUCUUUUAUUCCCAAAUCUCUUAUUUCUCCACUACCCAUUGCAAGAAGAAACCCAAGUAUGUGUUUGAUCAAAUUGAUGGUGCCUUAAACAAGUUUAAUCAGAUGCUACAUAUGCAUCCAUGUCCUUCUAUUGUGGAAUUUAAUCAAUUAUUAGGGGCCAUUGUUAGAAUGAAGUAUUAUGAAACUGCGGUUACUCUGUUGAGAAAAAUGGAAUUACUAGGAAUUAAUCCUGAUGUUUAUACCCUCAAUAUUUUGCUAAAUUCUUUUUGCCGCUUGCAUCGUGUGGAUUUUGGGUUUGCGGUUUUGGGGAAGGUGUUGAAGUUGGGCAUUGAAUUAGAUACUGUAACAUUCUCCACUUUGAUCAAUGGACUUUGCAUUGGAGGUAAAGUAGCUCAAGCUGUGAGGUUGUUUGAUGACAUGGUUCGAGAAGGGUAUCAGCCUAGUUUAAUCACUUAUAAUACCAUAGUAAAUGGUCUUUGUAAAAUAGGUGACACUACUCGGGCUAUUCUACUGCUAAGGACUAUGGGAGAAAUAGGUUUUGCACCUGACAUUGCAACAUACAGCAAUGUCAUCGACAGCCUUGGUAAGGACAAGCAUGUAACCGAGGCUUUGAAGCUUUUCUCAGAAAUGAGAGGUAAAGGCAUUCCACCUGAUGUUGUCAUUUAUAGUUCCUUAAUUCAAGCUAUGUGUAACUCAUGUCAGUGGAAGGAGGUUACAAGAUUAUUCAAUGAAAUGAUGGCGAACAAUUGCAAACCUAAUGUCAUCACAUAUAGUAUUGUGGUCGAUGCCCUUUGUAAAGAGGGUAGGGUUUUAGAGGCUCAAAAUAUUUUUGAAAGAAUGAUUCAACAAGGUGUUGAGCCUAAUAUAGUUACCUAUAAUUCAUUGCUUGAUGGAUAUUGUUUGCGAGGUGAAAUGGGUGCAGCUAGAAAGUUAUUCAAUUCAAUAACUAACACGGGUUGUGUACCUGAUGUAUUUAGUUACAGCAUCAUUAUCAAUGGAUAUUGUAAAGCUAAAAGGAUUGAUGAGGCAAUGGAACUUUUUCAUGAAAUGACUCGAAAUGGAUUAAUCCCGAAUGUUGUUACUUACAACACUCUUAUAGGUGGCAUGUCGCAGGUUGGGAGACUUGCAGGUGCAAAAGAACUUUUCGAAGAAAUGAGUACUCGUGGCCUAGUUCCAGACUUGAUCACUUACUCUACUUUGCUGGAUGGCUUAUGCAAGUGUGGUCAUAUUCAUGAGGCAUUGGGACUUUUUCGUGUAAUGCAGAAUGGUUGGUUAGAACCUGACAUUGUCCACUAUUCUAUCUUAAUUGAUGGCUUGUGUCAAGUUGGGCAACUUAAAGUUGCAAGGAAAUUAUUUUGUGCACUCAAAGUUAAAGGGAUACACCCUAAUGUUUACACAUAUAGUAUAAUGAUCAGAGGACUUUGUAAAGAAGGGUUGCAGAAUGAAGCAUACAAACUGUUUAGUAAAAUGGAAUUGGAUGGUUGCAUGCCAAAUAGUUGCACUUAUAAUGUGAUGAUUACGGGAUUUCUUCGAAACAAUGACGUAUCAAGGGGAGUACAAAUUCUUCGUGAAAUGGUUAACAGAGGAUUUUCUGCAAAUGCAUCUGUAGCGGCGAUGCUAGUGGAUUUAAUGUCUAGUGAUUCAACGGGUGAAUAUAUUCAUGCAGUAGUUCAGAAACUUUGAAGACUAUCAAAGUUCUAAUAUGGGGUGAUUUCUUCCCAGCCAAUAUUAGUGCAAUAAAUCCAAACAAGUUUUAUAAUCUGUAAGGGUUGCUAAUAACUAUUUAAGCAGUCCCUAAUUCCAUCAUAUGAACUUCAUAUAGAAGGCAGUAUUUCACUAUUUGAUUAGGCAUUAGGCAGCAUGCAAGUGUCCUAUUUCCUAUUAAAUUCAGGAAGAAGGCUGAUUUUGAAUUUUUCAGCAUGCAGGUACUCUUUUUUCUUCUGUUUCUCUCUUCUCUUUUUUUUUUUUUUUCUUGUUUUUUUAUCUUCUAGGGCGCCUAUAGGCAUAGCAGGGUUGGGCUCUAUUAAUGGUUUACCAUUCAUUCUAGUUUUGAUAACCUUGCAAAGUGGACAAUAUUCUCCUUUGCAGAACAAAUGUCAGUGCUCAUUCAUGCCGCUUUAUAAUCAUACUGGCUUUUCCUGGUGGUGUUUCUUUGGAACUGGAAGCAUUAGAAAGUUCUUUGUUGUGAGUUUUGUUUCAUGGAAAUGUGGUUUCAAUUAAAGUGAAUGGUAUAGAAUUUUUUAUUAACAUAAAAUUCCAUUUGAAAUGCAUUUCCUUUGCUCAGAUGGCGAAGUCACCAGAGCUAUCUCCUGUGGUGGUGCAGAAUUUCUGUUGAUCUUCCACCAUUUGGGGAACUGGCUUGGCUAGCUACCUUGUCUGCUCUAACUGAACAUCUUACAGGGAUAGGAUCACAUUGUUGAAUUGUAUGUACUGAAAUUCAAAAAAUUUCCCUGGAUCUAUAAUGAAUUGACAUGAUUCUAAUAUAAUGCAUCUCUGUUUUCCUUUAUUCUUCUUAUCUUAUAAAUUUAUGUAGUUAUGUCCUUAUAGUUUUCCUCUCGAUUUUUCCUCUACUUUAUAGUUCCUAGUAAGGGACUUUGAACAAUUUGAUUAAACUUCUUGCCCUGCAAAUUUCGUCUUUUCUUUUGUGCUACUUGCCUUACUCUUUGCUUAUCAUUCUCAGAUGUAUAGUACAACUUUAAUAGCAACAAAUGCAUGCCAGAAACUACUUAUUUUUCUUAAUAUAAAUUUCAGAUCAAAGUGGACAUAAACAUAGAAUGGGAUUUAUAAAUGGAUCACUGAAUUAUGGUUUUCCCUCUAUCAUUUCAUGAUCUGAACCUAUAAAACUCAUUUGUGUUUGCUUGCUGUGACACCACCUUAGGUGUUUGCCACAAUGAUUUUAAUACCUUCUUUAGUGAGACUGGGUCUGGCAAGCAUGUGCCAAGAGCUAUAUUUGUUGAUCUAGAGCCCACUGUCGUGAUGAAGUUGGAGGAGGGACUUAUAGACAACUCUUUCACCGGGAGCAACUUGUUUCUGGCAAGGAAGAUGCUGCUAAUAACUUUGCUAGAGCACAUUAUACAGGUACAAGCAUCUUUUCUGCAUUUCCAAAGUACUAGCAAUUUUGUUAGAUUUGGUCACUGGCUUAAACUUCUUUGGUGUUGUAUACUGCAGUUGGUUGGGCAAUUGUGGAUCUUUGCCUUGACCAAGUGAGAAAAUUGGCUGAUAACUGCACUGGUUUGCAAGGAUUUUUUGAAUUUAAUGCUGUUGGCAGUGAAAAUGGUUUUGGUUUGGGCUCGUUGCUUUUGGAGUGCUUGUCUGUAGAUUAUGGAAAGAAGUCAAAACUUGGCUUCUCCAUCUACCCUUCUCCUCAGGUAAUUUCUUGAAGACUUAAAGGAAAAGUACAGGUUUCGUUUACCCUAUGCUUGAACUAUAAUGAUUGUGCAAUUCACUGAACAAUUAUCCUCAAUUGUGCAGGUUUCUACCGCUGUUGUGGAACUUUAUAAUAGCAUGCUCUCAACUCAUUCUCUCCUUGAACACACAGAUGUUGCUAAGCUUCUUGACAAUGAAGCUAUAUACGAUAUCUGUAGGAGAUCCUUAGGCAUUGAAAGACCAACUUAAACAAACUUGAACCGCUUGAUAUCCCAAAUUAUCUCUUCUUUGACCACUUCAUUGAGGUUUGAUGGUGCCAUAAACAUGCACAUCGCAAAGUUUGGACAUUUUAGAGUUUCAGAAUAACCUUGUGCCAUAUCCUUGUAUCCAUAUCAUGCUCUCAUCAUAUGCCCGCAGCUAUCAGUUCCUGGGAUUACAAGUGCUGUUUUUGAACCAUCAAGCAUGAUGGCUAAAUGUGAUCCAAGGCAUGGGAAGUACAUAGCAUGCUGUUUAAUGUACCGUUGAGAUGUUGUACCUAAGGAUGUCAAUGCUGCUGUUGCUACCAUCAGAACUAAGCGGACAGUUCAGUUAGUAGAUUGGUUAGUAGACAUCUCUUACAUUUCAUUUCCAAAUAAUUAUGUAUAAGCAAUCUGAUUAUCAUUAUUACAUAGAGUUCGCCAAGGGGAAAACAUUGAUUUUGCCUUUGGUUUGUUAUCUGAAUGAUUGUGAUGCGUCUUUUAUUUCAGGUGCCCUACUGGUUUCAAGUGUGGUGUCAACUAUCAGCCACCCACUGUGGUACCAGGGGGUGAUCUCGCUAAGGUACAACGUGCAGCAUGCAUGAUCAGCCACCCACUAUGCAUGAUUAGCAGAGAUUUUCUCCCGAAUUGACCACAAGUUUGAUCUCAUGUAUGCCGAAAGAGCAUUUGUUCGCUGGUAUGUAGGUGAAGGAAUGGGGGAAGGUGAAUUCUCAGAAGCCCGUGAAGACCUUGCUGCUCUCAAGAAAGACUAUGAGGAAGUUGGGGCAGAAGGUGCCAAAACGAAGAACCAGAAAAUUACUAGAUCUAUAUUUCAUGAAAGCAGCAGCUAAUUGUCCAUCAUGUUCCUCAAGUCCAUCAUGUUCCUCAACUCAUUUCAGUUCAUCAGCUAUUCUUAUUGUUGUAAGUUUAUGCAUUUGUACUUCGUGUCUUGAAUUUGUAUUUGCAUGUCUUUGCUCCGAACGUGGGUGGUUUUAAGUGUUGUUGUGAGAACCUGUAGUUUCUGUCCUAUGAGAUGUGGUCCCUUUCAAUGUCUAAUUGUGCCAUGAUUUGAUAUAAUGCAAGUCAAAAUUUCCCAGAAAAAUAACAGAAACAACUAGAAAAUAAAGAUUUCCCAAUUUUCUGUUAGGUGGGUGAUUAAAUAUUUUGCCACAAACUGAGAGGCAUGUAAUUAGAAACAGAAGUUUUCCAUUUAAGAAAAACAAUAUCUAAAAAAAAAAAAAAAAACAUAAGGAUUGAUAAAUAAAGUCCAUGUUGUUAAAAAAAUUUUAAUGAGUUUUUUUUUUUUUUAAUAUAUGUAAUUGCUGCUCUCGUUUAUUCAUCAAAUAAAUAACUUAACUAGAUGAGAAUUUAAUUUUUUUUCCUAUUAUAAAUAGAGACAAGACUUAUAGAAAUUUUUAUUUCCAAUUUGUGAAGUUUGAUAUUAAAAAUGAUUCAUUCAAAAGUUUAAUUUAAAAUUGAAAUUCAUAAAUUAAAAUAUCUUAGUAAAUUUUUUAUUAAAUCAUUUUUAAUAUUAAAAUUCACAUAUUUCAUUUAAAUUUUUUUAUAAAAAAUAGCUAUCUUGACUUGUGAGUAGUUUUGUAAAAGAUCAAAAAUAAAUUAAUUAAUCAACUAUUUACUUAUAUUUUUAUAUUUAAGAUUGUUUAGAAUUGAAAAUGUAUUAUUAAAAUUAAAAUUCUAACAUUUUAUCAAAUUAUUGACUAAAGAUUUUUUUAAAAUCUAAUGUCUAAUAAUACUAAUUAAUUUUAUCAACAACAAAAUUUAUUGAUCACUGAUUGCCAAACUUGAUUAAAUAAAAGAGGAUUUUGCUAAUAAUUAUCUUGAGAUAGUUUUUAAAAUUACAAAUUUCGAUUGAGUGAGUGGCUGAUUCCAUAUUCCUCUCUUUUUAUUAUUUCUUUUAUUAUAAAUUUUUUUAUCCAUGUCAAUUUUUAGAAGUUUCUUUCUUUAAAAGUUCUAGCGUUUUUUUCAACCUAAACUUUUGUCUUUAGAGUUAAGCAUUAACUUUAAGAAAAAGAUCAUUUUUAUUGUUAGUAUAAAUUAUUAUUAUAUUAAAUCGUUUUUUACAUUAUAAAAUUCAAACCCUUAACAGUCAAAUAUCACAUUUAAUAUAAAAAUAUUGUUAUAAAUAAUAUUUUAACAAAUUUAAAAAAGAUAUUUAUUGUAAAAUCUAAUUUGAAUUUAUGAAAAAAUUAAAUUAUACUAUAUUAUAUAAUUAUUUAAACAAAUUAAAUUUUACGCUAACAAUUAUAACUCAUUGUAGUUAAAGAGAUAUUUUUUAAUAUUUAAAGUUUCAAGUAUGGAUAAAAUAUUUUAGUAACGGAUCAUAAAAUUUUACUAUUUUUUAUUCACUAAUUCACCGUAACUCAUUAUUAACUAAAAUUAAUUAGAUUAAUUUGUGUGUAUUUGGAAAUACUAUAAUAUUUAAUUUAUUAACCCAAAUGGCAAUUUGGUAAAUUGAAAUGUUUCGACCAAGCGUUAAACUAAUUAAUCAAUUGUUGGAUAAAAACAGCGAAAAUGUGUUUUUUUUUUAAAUAUAAUGUUUGAAGAAAAUUAUCUUCAUCUUGCAGUUUGGAUCAAUGUACAUUAGAUUCAUCCUGCAAUUUUGGUAAUAAAAAAAUUCUUAAUAAUUUUAAACACUUGACACCAAGAAUUAAGAAAAAAAAACACACAAAAACAACGAAUUUAAAUUUUAGUAAAAUUAUAGAUAUUUAGUAAAAAUUGUAUUUUAUAUUUCUUGAUCUAAUAAUUUGACAAAAUAAUUUUUAUAUUGAUUUACCUAUUUCAAAAUCUUCUGGCCGUUGUAAGAGCUCAUCGACACCCCAUGACAACACUCAUGGAUUCAAAAGACUAUUGGUGUAAUGAACCUGCAGUGUGAUUUGAAGGCAACUUAUGAGAUGGCGAUGCAAGAACAAAAAAUAAGCAAAAAAAAAUCAAACUCAGAAAUUAAUUAAAUAUGUUCUCUACUAAUAAUACCAUCAAAGCUAUAAAACCGAAGAUGUGCUUUAAAAUUUACCUAGUAGUUAAAGAGGAGAAAUAAUGCUAGUAAUUGGAUUAAAAAAACAAAGGUAUAGUCUGCAAUGCAAGGGACAACUUAUAAUUCAAGUAUAAAUUUAAUGAUAGUUGUAUCUUAUGCCAUAAUUUAAAAUUUUCUUCCAUAACUCAGUUAACAAAAUAAUUUCUUAAAAACAAAUGCCAUAUUCGAGUAAAAGAUUAUAUACCCUAAUGAAUUUACAAGAUUCAAACCAAAUCAACCCUUUAUAAAAAUCUCGGAUUUGUUCACUGCCAUUUCUGAUGAAAUUGAGGACCGCUGAAGUAGUAGGGGCCUAUGUCACAGAAACAUCAAACAUUACUACAAAAAUAUAGUUUACAAACAACUACAUGAAGAAAUAAGAUAAAAAUGAUGAAUUACUGUAAGAUGCCAUGCUAUUGCUUCUAGAACACAUAAUUACUUAUGAAGAACAUUUACAAAACAUUGUGCAUCAAUAAAGAUUCCAAAAACUGAAAAUUUGAUUCUUCUUCAUUUUGAGAAAGGGAGGAAUAGGUGAGUAAACACUGCAAACUGCAGUAGUAUAUUUUCUAUGACACUGUACAUACUAUAUUAUUAGAUCUGCAAACGAAUACAUUCACUAGUUUGGUCAUUUCAAUGCUUAACUUAUCCUAAACAAUUUUGAUUAGAAAAUGAAAAGAAGAAAAAACCAAAAUAGAAACAAGUAUUUAACCAGUAAGGCAUGUUUACUGGUCUUGGAUAGUUGUUGGAGACUUCUAUAAUUAACUUGUGGUGUCAGAAGUGAAUACACAUUAUCACUAUUCAUUCUAGGAUAGCACAAUCGAGAACAUAAAACUCAAAUGGAUAAGAAAAUUCACCUUAAUUUUGCUUAAAAUGUAUGUAAAAUAAUCAGUGCCUGUAAUGAUAAUUAUUCUCUUAGCGACUCUUACCAUCUACAUCUCUUACACCACAUUACACUAAAAUGUAAACAACAAUAUUUCUUUUCCUUUGUCUAUUUUCAUGUGUUUCAUCUAAUAUCCUUGACUGGUUGAAUCCUAGGUCGUAACCUAAGGCAAGGCUCAAAUAUUUAAAGAUUGCAUAAACAAUUUUAAGAAAAUCCAAAUGUUAUUGCAUAAUAUCUUGAUUAUGUAUUUGCAAAUUACAUGACUGUCAGAAAGCAAAUAGCAUCAACUGAGUGGUGUGAAUGAAAAAUGAAUAAUUGACAAGUAUGAAAAGCUAGCGUCUAACUAUCAUUGAAUGCAUAUGCAAUAACAGAAAGAAGACAAAUACAAUAAAACACAACAACCAGGCAUCUUCCCCCUAGCAGAAAGUUGAUAACCAUAUAUAAAUAUAGAAAUGCAACAAAUUAACAGUGAAGAAAUAACAGAGAGGAAACUCAGUAGUAACAAUGGUAAAUGCUUAUCAAAUGCUCAAUGGCGCACAGACAUUCAGUUUGGGACUUAUGUCGUCAUUCAUGACUUCAACUAAUGUGAUUACAACUAUCUCAUGAUAUCGGUAUUGCAACAUUGGACAUAAGCGCGCAGACAACUAUUUAAUAGCAUUAAUAAUUGCCAAUUGAACUCAAGGAUGUGAAUCAUUUACUGACCCCUAAACCAUUGGCACUACCUUUUCCAGAUUUUCUAGCAUCAUCUGCACAAACAAAGUAAAAACAUAAGCGAAACUCAUUUGGAAGUAAAUGAAACAUAAGAACAAUCUUCUCAAAAUUAGCUCUACCUCCAAACCAAUAAGCAUGUCUAAAGGAAUUCUUUAUUAGAUUAACAACAAAGAAACUAUUUUACAUCAAAUACAAGAAAUGCAUAAAUGCUUAUCUAGAAUAAACAAUAUAUAUAUUGUAUAUAUGUAUCAAACAUCAUCAAAUCUAAUUAAAUAAAUUAUUGCAAUUUCAAACCUUUGAAGUGAAUAAAACAUGUUAGCAAUUUUAUCAAAAUAAACUCUCUCAUCCAACCAAUAAUAAUUAACAAAUGAAGCAAGUUUUAAAUUUAAUUAAUUAAGAGCAAAACAUAUACCAUGAACUCUACAAUAAUAACAAGCUAACUAAAUUGUUCAUCUACAAUAAACCAAUAUAUAACAUUAAAUAUGAGCAAAUCAAUUACUAAUGUAACUUCAAACCUUAAAACAGCCCUCAGCAAUUUUUGGAAUAGUAAUGAGAGCAGCUAGCCACUAAUGUCACAUGGAAGUACCUAACAAAUGUGAAAACAAGCGUAAAACCACUAAAAGAUCGUCUUCUCACCCAACAAAACAGACAACUUACUCAAACACUUUUUUGCUAAUAUAUAAUCAUUCAUCCCACAAAAAUGGUCAACCUUAUACUCAUCCUCAUCCACAUACUCAAUAUCGAAUAACAUAUACAUUAACUCAUGAAACAACCUCUUUAUAAAUUGUGGCUCCUUGCUUAUCAUUCUUGGAUCCUUCUCCACCAAUGCCAUUAGGGAUUCAAUCGCCAAAUGUUUUAUGUCUACCUCUAAACUAUCAUCAACUGUGAUCUUCAACAUCAAUUGUAGUACCUUCUUUAACUGCCUCUCAAAAAACCUUGGGUCAGUCUUUGCUAAUUUGAUUAACAAUUGCAAAGAUUCCUUAGACUUUGAUUCUGACCCUGAAUUCAGAGCAGUAGUCAAUAUUUGUGAAGCAACAAAACUGCUACUUCUCUUUUUCAUAAAACUCUAAUAUGACAAUGUAAAAUAUGAAAACAAGCAUAAAAAAAUGAAAAUAAUAUGAAUUAAAAAUUUAAUAAAAAUUAUAUAUUAAUUUAAUAUAAAAUAAUAUAAUGAUUUUUUAUCUGAGAUAUAUGUACAUUUUUUAUGGCAAAAGCAUUUGAUGGGCUUUUUGUUUGAGUUUGAUUGGAUCGAAAGUAAAUUUUUUAACACAAAUAACUUUUAAAAUGAUAUAAUGAGUUGAUGUGAAUAUAGAUAAAAUUUCUGGAAAAGCUCAUGAAGCAUUCCAUAUUCACAUGGAAAAGCUUUGUAAAUUGAUCAAUUAUUUUCAAUACAUGGAUGAUGAUGUUGCUAGGAAAAUGUAAAUGUACGAUUUCAUAUCUGCAUUAGGACUACAAAGGUUGACUAAUAAAGACCUUGUUAGAGAUGGGUUCUUGUGUCUCUAACAAUGGAACGACUGGCUAUGAGAUGAGAACCGAUGGGCUCUUUUCGUGUUUACCACGACGGUAGGGCCAUUGUGCUCCAUUGCUUUCUCUCACUGUUGCUUAGUUUACUUGGAGCUCUAAUGUCAGCAUUUUCAGACUUUCUUUCAAGGAACGGAAUGAAAACUAUUCGAUUCUCCAAGAAAGAGAAAGAACAAAACUAAGCUUCGGGAGAACCAUCAUGGCCACCGAUUCCAUUUCCAGUCAGCUUCGCCUCUCAGGGAACGAAAAUUGUUCAAUUCUCCAAGAAAUAGAAAUAACAAAACCAUGUCUCGAGAGAGCCACCAUGUCGAAUGAUUCCAAUUCCACUCAGCACCGUCUUCAUCCCAAUAUAUUGACUAAAAAAUAGUUGAUUAAAAAUAUUUUUUUUUUAUAGCAUAAUUCGGCAAGGUAAUUCAAUUAAAAAUUUUUAUUUUAAAAUUCAUUCCAUCCCAAUUCUUAAUCAUUGAGAACAAUAUAAUACUUCUUAUAUUUUUAAUAAUUUUUUUUGUCUAGUGGUUACAAAAUUUAGUGAUUUUCAAACCUUAAAACUAAACGGCAUUAGGCAGCAUGCAAGUAUCCUAUUAAAUUCAUGAAGAGGGCUGAUUUUUAUUUUUCAGCCCGCAGGUACUCUUUUUUCUUCUGUUUUUCUCUUCUCUUUUUUUUUUUUUUUUGUCUUUUUUUCCUUCUAGGGCACCUAUAGGCAUAGCAGUGUUGGGCUCUAUUAAUGGUUUACCAUUCAUUCUAGUUCUGAUAACCUUGCAAAACGUAUAAUAUUCUCCUUUGCAGAACAAAUGUCAAUGCUCGUUCAUCCUUCUUUAUAAUCAUAUUGUCUUUUCCUGGUGGUGUUUCUUUGGAACUGGAAGCAUUAGAAAGUUUUUUGUUGUGAGUUUUGUUUCAUGGAAAUGAGAUAUUUGGUUUGAAUUGAAGUGAAUGGUAUAGAAUUUAUAUAAUUCUUUUUUAUUAACAUAAAUUUCCAUUUGACAUGCAUUUCCUAUGCUCAGAUGGCGAAGUCACCAGAGCUAUGUCCUGUGGUGGUGCAGGAUUUCUAUUGAUCUUCCACCAUUGGGGUACUGGCAUGGCUAGCUGCCUUGUCUGCUCUAACCGAACAUCUUACAGGGAUAGGAUCACAUUGUUGAAUUUUAUGUAUUGAAAUUCAAAAAAUUUCCCUGUAUCUAUUAUGAAUUGACAUGAUUCUAAUAUAAUGCGUCUCUGUUUUCCUUUAUUCUCCUUAUUAUAUAAAUUUAUGUAGUUAUGUUCUUAUAGUUUUCCUCUCGAUUUUUCCUCUACUUUAUUGUUCCUAGUAAGGGACUUUGAACAAUUUGAUUAAACUUCUUGCCCUGCAAAUUUCGUCUUUUCUUUUGUGCUACUUGCCUUACUGUUUGCUUAUCAUACUCAGAUGUAUAGUACAACUUUAAUAGCAACAAAUGCCUGCCAGAAACUACUUAUUUUUCUUAAUAUAAAUUUCAAAUCAAAGUGGACAUAAACAUAGAAUGGGAUAUGUAAAUGUAUCACUGAAUUAUGGUUUUCCCUCUAUCAUUACAUGAUCUGAACCUAUAAAACUCAUUUGUGUUUGCUUGCAGUGACACCACCUUAGGUGUUUGCUACGAUGAUUUUAAUACCUUCUUUAGUGAGACUGGGUCUGGCAAGCAUGUGCCAAGAACUAUAUUUGUUGAUCUAGAGCCCACUGUCAUUGAUGAAGUUGGAGGAGGGACUUAUAGACAAGUCUUUCAUCCAGAGCAACUUAUUUCUGGCAAGGAAGAUGCUGCUAAUAACUUUGCUAGAGGACAUUAUGCUGGUACAAGCAUAUUUUCUGCAUUUCCAAAGUACUAGCAAUUUUGUUAGAUUUGAUCACUGGCUUAAACUUCUUUGAUGUUGUAUACUGCAGUUGGUCGGGUAGUUGUGGAUCUUUGCCUUGACCAAGUGAGAAAAUUGGCUGAUAACUGCAUUAAUUUCAAGGAUUUUUUUAAUUUAAUGCUGUUGGCAGUGGAACUGGUUUUGGUUUGGGCUCGUUGCUUUUGGAGUACUUGUCUGUAGAUUAUGGAAAGAAGUCAAAACUUGGCUUCUCCAUCUACCCUUCUCCUCAGGUAAUUUCUUGAAGAUUUCAAGGAAAAGUACAGAUUUCUUUUUCCCUAUGCUUGAACUAGUAUGUGUGUGCAAUUCACUGAACAAUUAUCCCCAACUGUGCAGGUUUCUACUGCUGUUGUGGAACCUUAUAAUAGUAUGCUCUCAACUCAUUCUCUUCUUGAACACAAUGAUGUCGCUGUGCUUCUUGACAAUGAAGAUACAUAUGAUAUCUGUAGGAGAUCCUUGGACAUUGAAAGACCAACUUAUUCAAACUUGAAUCGCAUGAUGUCCCAAAUUAUCUCUUCUUUGACCACUUCAUUGAGUUUUGAUGGUGCCAUAAACAUGGACAUCACAGAGUUUGGAUAUCGCAGAGUUUCAGACUAACCUUGUGCUGUAUCCUUGUAUCCAUUUUAUGCUUUCAUCAUAUGCCCCAGUAAUCUCAGCUACAAAGGCUUACCAUGAGCAGCUAUCAGUUCCUGAGAUUACAAGUGCUGUUUUUGAACCAUCAAGCAUGAUGGCGAAAUGUGAUCCAAGGCAUGGGAAGUACAUGGCAUGCUGUUUAAUGUACUGUGGAGAUGUUGUACCUAAGGAUGUCAAUGCUGCUGUUGCUACCAUCAAAACUAAGUGGCUGUUCAGUUAGUAUAUUGGUUAGUAGACAUCUCUUACAUUUCAUUUCCAAGUAAUUAUGUAUAAGCAAUCUGAUUAUCAUUAUUACAUAGAGUUCUCCAUGGGGAAAAUAUUGAUUUUGCCUUCGGUUUGUUAUCUGAAUGAUUGUGAUGCAUCUUUUAUUUCAGGUGCCGUAUUGGUUUCAAGUGUGGUAUCAACUAUCAGCCACCCACUGUGGUACCAGGGGUUGAUGUCACUAGGGUACAACGUGCAGCAUGCAUGACCAGCCACCCACUAUGCAUGAUUAGCAGAGGUUUUCUCCCGAAUUGACCACAAGUUUGAUCUCAUGUAUGCCAAGAGAGCAUUUGUUCACUGGUAUGAGGAAGUUGGGGCAGAAGGUGCCGAAAACAAAGAAGAACCAGAAGAUUACUAGAUCUAUAUUUCAUGAAAGCAGCAGCUAAUGGUCCAUCAUGUUCCUCAACUCAUUUCAGUUCAUCAGCUAUUCUUAUUGAUGUAAAUUUGUGCAUGUGUACUUCAUCUCUUGAAUUUGUCUACCUUUGUAUGUCUUUGCUCUGAAAGUGAGUGGUUUUAAGUGUAGUUGUGAGAACCUAUAGUUUCUGUCCUAUGAGAUGUGGCCCCUUUCAAUGUCUAAUAAAGCUUCUGCCUUGUGCCAUGAUUUAAUAUAAUGCAAGUCAAAAUUUCCCAGAAAAAUAACAGAAACAACUAGAAAGUAAAGAUUUCCCAAUAAUUUUCUGUCUGGUGGGUCAUUAAAUAUUUGGCUACAAACUGAGAGGCAUGUAAUUGGAAACAGAAGCUUUCCACUUAAGAAAAACAAUAUUUAAUUAAAAAAAAAAAAAGGAUCGCUGAAUAAAGUCCAAGUUGUUGUUGAAAAAUUUUUAAUGAGUUUUUUUAUUUUUUAUGUAAUUACCAAUCUCGUUUAUUCAUCAAAUAAAUAAUUUAACUAGAUGAGAAUUUUUCUUUUUUUUUUUUGUAAUAUAAAGAGAGACAAGACUUAAUAAAAUUUUUAUUUGCAAUUUGUGAAGUUCGAUAUUAAAAGUAAUUCAUUAAAAAUUUUAAUCUAAAAUUGAAAUUCAUAAAUUAAAAUAUCUUAGAUUAAAAGUUUUAUUAAAUUAUUUUUAAUAUUGAAUUUCACAAAUUUCAUUUCAAAUUUUUUAUAAAAAAAUUAGCUAUCUUGACUUGUAAGUAAUUUUUUAAGAGAUCAAAAAUAAAUAAAUUAAUCAAUUAUUUACUUAUAUUUUUGUAUUUGAGAAUGUUUAGAAUUACAAUUUUAUUAUUAAAACUAAAAUUUUAACAUUUUAUCAAAUUAUUGACUAAAGAUUUUUUUAAAUCUAAUGUCUAAUAAUACUAAUUAAUUUUUAUCAACAAUGAUAUUUAUUGAUCAAUGAUUGUCAAUCUUGACUAAAUAAAAGAGGAUUUUGCUAAUGAUUGAUAGUUUUUAAAAUUACAAAAUUUCAUAGAGUGAGUGGCUGAUUCUCUCUUACUCUCUUUUUUAUUUUUAUUCAUUUUUUUAUUAUAAUUUUUUAUCUAUGUCAAUCUUCCAGUUUUAGCCUGUUUUUCAACCUUGAAAACUUUUGUCCUUAGAGUUGAGCAUUAACUUAAGAUAAUUUUUAUUGUUAGUAUAAAUUAUUAUUAUAAAAUUAUAUCCCUUAACAGUCAAAUAUCACAUUUAAUACAAAAAUAUUAUAAUAUUAUAAAUAAUAUUUUAAUUAAUUUUAAAAAAAGAUAUUGAUAAUAAAAUCUAAUUUGAAUCCACGAUAAAAUUUUAAUAAGUGAAUAACAUAACUAAUGAUGGAACCAAAAUUAAAUUAUAAUACAUUAUAAAGUUAUUUAAAUAAAUUAAAAUUUAUGUUGUCAAUUAUUUCAUUACAGAUAAAGAGAUUUUAUUUUUUAUAACAUUUAAAUUUUUCAAGUAUGGGUGAAGCAUUUUACUAACGGAUCAUAAAAUUUUAUUAUUUUUUAUGCAUUAGUUCACCAUUACUCAUUGUUAACUAAAAUUAAUUAUAUUAAUUUGUGUGCAUUUGAAAAUACUAUAGUACUUAAUUUAUUAAUCCAAAUGGUAAUUUGGUAAAUUGAAAUGAUCCAACCAAAUGUUAAAUUAAUUAAUCAAUUGUUGGAUAAAAACGAUGUAAGGGUAUUUUUUUAAAAAUAUAAUGUUUGAAGAACAUUAUCUUCAUGUUGCAAUUUGAAUCAAAUGUACAUUAGAUUCAUCCUGCAAAUUUGCUAAUAAAAAAAUUUCUUGAUAAUUUUGAACACUUCACACCAAGAAUUAAGAAAAAAAAAAAAACAUAAAAACAACAAACUUAAAAUUUUUGUAAAAUUAUAUAUAUUUAGUAAUAAAUAUAUUUUAUAUUUUAUUUAUUGAUAUAAUAAUUUGACAUAAUAAUUUUUUAUAUUUGAUACAAUACGAACAUAAUUAUAACUGUAUAAAUUAUCAAGUCUACAUUAAAUUGAUGUAAUCAAUAAUUAGAUUCUCAAUACAUAAUACUUUCUUCUAAUUUAUUUUCAAACUUGUUAUAUUUAAAAUCAAACCGCUUUGAGCAAACUUUUAACAUCAUCAUUAGUCACAUUUUCAUUUCCUCAUGAUACACGUGAAUAGAUUGUCGGCUCUUCUUCCAUUGUUUCUAGCCAUUCUCUUAAUGUCUCACCAUCUUCAUCUCUUACACCACAUCACACUAACAUGUAAAUAACAAUAUUUCUUUUUCUUUGUUUAUUUUCAUGUGUUCCGUCUAAUAUCCCUGAUUGGCUAAAUCUUAAGUCCUAACCCAAGGAAAGGCUCAAAUAUUUAAAGAUUGCAUGAACAAUUUUAAGAAAUUCCAAAUGUUAUUGCAUAAUAUCUUGAUUAUGCAUUUGUAAAUUACAUGAUUGUCAAAAAAUAAAUAGCAUCAACCGAGUGGAGUGAAUGAAAAAUGAAUAAUUAACAAGUAUGAAAAGCUAGCAUCUAACUAUCAUUGAAUGCAUAUGCAAAACAUAAAGAAGACAAAUAUAAUAAAACACAACAACCAAGCAUCUUCCCCCUAGCAAAAAGUUGAUAACCAUAUAUAAAUAUAGAAAUGCAACAACUUAACAGUGAAGAAAAAAGCAGAGAGAAAACUCAGUAGUACCAAUGGUAAAUGCUUAUCAAAUGUUAAUGGGCCCACAGACCUUCAGUUUGGGACUUGCGUCGUCAUUCAUGACUUCAACUAAUGUGAUUAAAACUAUCUCAUGAUAUCGGGUAUUGCAACUGCGGACAUUAGCGCACAGACAACUGUUUAAUAGCAUUAAUAGCUGCCAAUUGAACCCAAGGAUGUGAAUCAUUUAUAGACUCCAAAACCAUUGGCACACCUCUUCCAAAUUUUCUAGCAUCAUCUGCACAAACAAGGUAAAAACAUAAGUGAAACUCAUUUGGAAGUAAUGAAACAAAAGAACAAUGUUUUCAUAAUUAGCUUUACCUCCAAACCAAUAAGCAUGUCUAAAGGAAUUCUUUAUUAGAUUAACAACAGAGAAACUAUUUUACAUCAAAUACAAGAAAUGCAUAAAUGCUCAUCUAGAAUAAACAAUAUAUAUAUAUAUAUAUAUAUUCUGGUAGUGAUUAAACUACAAAUUGUUUAGUGAAGGUAAUUAAUCCAAUUUUCAUGUAUCCCAUUAAACCAAGUUUAUAAAAAUUAUCUUGAUAUCUUAAUAUGAUAUCAUCAUAAAUUUUGUAAAUUUCAAAUAUAACAAAUAAUUAUUUAUGUAAAUUAAUGUAAACCUAAUAAUGCAUGAUUUUAAUCUUUUUAAGGCAAAACUUCCCUAGAAAGAAAGCAUGCGAGCCAAAAGCUGAGCUAGCCAAGACAAAUAAGAUGUAACAUUAAAUGCAACAUCAAAUUAUACAAGUUUUUAAGUGUGAGUUUGUACAAAAGUCUUAAAAUUUUUUAAAAAAUUUAAAAUGAAAGUGUUAUAAAGUGAAUUAAUUGCUUGAAUAAAUAUUUUUAUAAAGAAAUUUUGAAUAUUAAAAUUUGAUGAGAUUAAAAAAAUAACUAUAAUAAAAAAAAUAAUGAUAAUAGAGAUAUAAUAAACAUGAAAGAAAUGCAAUAUACAUGUCGUUAUAUUUGUAAAAAAUGUAUAGAUAAUACUAAUAACAUGAAAAAUAAAAAAUAAAAUUUUAAAAGAAUUUUGUAGUUAGAGUUGAAAACAAUAAAAGUUAUAUAAAAAAUGAAAUAUAAUAAAUUAAUUUAUAACUCAUGUAAUACAAUAAUUGUCUUUAAUUAUUUAAAUGUGUAUAGACACGUAAAUUAACAUUCUUUAAUUAUUUAUAUAUUCAAAAUAUACGUAAAAUACAUAUAAUAUCAUUAAGAUAUCAAAUCAUUAUAAAAUUAAAUUUUUUAUUAAAAAUUUAAUAAAUUUUAAAAAUAUGAAGAAUAAUAUUUAAAGAAGAAUAACAUAUUCAAAAAAUAUCAUAUAUAUAAUAUAUAUUAUAUUAAAAGUAAAGAAUAUAGCUAAAUGUUAAUAUAAAUGUCUGGUGAUGAAAGGUCUCAUGCAAAGUACUACAUAUUGGAAACAACAAGUUCUAUAUAUUUUAAAAAAGAAAGAUGCAAAUAAGCAUUAAAAUAGAGUAGUAAAAUAUUUACUUGCCAAUCAUUCUUUGUAUAAGAUUGGUGUAUGUAAAAUCGUGAGAUAGUAUCAUUGUAUAUGAUACCGUCACUUAAAGCUUGUAAGUAAAUGUUAUCAAUUACCAUUUUUAUUAGUAUUAUGAAAAAUAAAAUCUAUUUUAGAAAUUAAAGUGAUUAUUGAAAAAGCAAAUUUAAGGUAAAAGUUUGUAAAUUAAAAUUUAUUAACAUAUAAUCAACACUUAUAAAUGAGAAAAAUAAAUGUUUUUGUAAAUUUUAACUUUAUACAUCACAAAAUAUAAAAAAGUAAACAUAAAGGUUUGAGAAAAAAUGCAGAGAAAUAUAGUUGGCUCUAAGAAUUUCAUUGAAUUAUUUAUUUUAAUAUAUUCUAUUUGAUCUUAAUUACUAUUUUAAUAUAAUUUAAUAUAUGUCAAUAUUUUGAUUUAAUAAAUUUUCAAAAUUUUAAAUAUUAAAUAACAUUAAAUAUAUAUAUAAAUUAAUUUAUUAUUAUAUUUUUAGAUUAAAUUCCUUAAUAAUUAUUUUUUAUUAUAAUUUAUCUUCCCAACAUCUUUGCUUUUAAAUUUAAACGUAUAUUAUAAUAUUGAUUUUAAUCCUACUAUUACUUUACCUAAUAUCACCUCUAUGAUUAUUUUCAAUCUCAACAGAUGUAAUUUCACUCGCGGUCCAAAUUUAGCCUCAAUAUCCAAGUUGGGAUAGACAAGAUUUUGAAUGAUGGAUCCGAAAUAGCCCUGAAUUGGCUAGAUCCGAUCCCGGCUUUAGAAACAGGUAAAUGGUUUAAAUGGACCGCAUCGAUUAGGCGUGGGUCCGAAAUCAACUUUGGACUUUUGACGGCAAUUUAUCAUUUGAGCCCAGUGCGUAGUUGACUCAUCUGACAAGGAAGCCGCUCAAGGAAGAAGAAUUGGAGCUUUCGGUUUGUGUUUUUAAUGACGAUGAUGAUAAUGAUGAGGGGUUGGAGGAGCUCUUCUCUCUCUUCUUUUUCUUCUGCCUUUGAUCAUCUUCGACAAUUGGGAUCGGGUAACCCUAGAUCUGCCACUUCUCUCUUUUAUUCCCAAAUCUCUUAUUUCUCCACUACCCAUUGCAAGAAGAAACCCAAGUAUGUGUUUGAUCAAAUUGAUGGUGCCUUAAACAAGUAUGAUCAGAUGCUACAAAUGCAUCCACGUCCUUCUAUUGUGGAAUUUAAUCAAUUAUUAGGGGCCAUUGUUAGAAAGAAGUAUUAUGAAACUGCGGUUACUCCGUUGAGAAAAAUGGAAUUGCUAGGAAUUUAUCCUAAUGUUUGUACUUUCAGCAUUUUGAUAAAUUCUUUUUGCCGCUUGCAUCGUUUGGACUAUGGGUUUUCGGUUUUGGGGAAGAUGUUGAAGUUGGGCAUUGAAUCAGAUACUAUAGCACUCUCCACUUUGAUCAAUGGACUUUGCAUUGGAGGUAAAGUAGCUCAAGCUGUGAGGUUGUUUGAUGACAUGGUUCGAGAAGGGUAUCAGCCUAAUUUAAUCAAUUAUAAUACCAUAGUAAAUGGUCUUUGUAAAAUAGGUGACACUACUCGGGCUAUCUAUUGCUAAGGACUAUGGAAGAAAUAAGUUUUGCACCUGACAGUGCAACAUACAGCACUAUCAUCGACAGUCUUUGUAAGGACAAGCAUGUAACCGAGGCUUUGAAGCUUUUCUCAGAAAUGAGAGGUAAAGGCAUUCCACCCGAUGUUGUCACUUAUAAU